CCUACGGGUGGCAGCAGUGGGGAAUAUUGCACAAUGGGGGAAACCCUGAUGCAGCAACGCCGCGUGAGUGAAGAAGUAUUUCGGUAUGUAAAGCUCUAUUAGCAGGGAAGUAGAAAUCCGUUACCUGACUAAUAAGCCCCUCCUAACUACGUGCCAGCAGCCUCGGUAAUACGUAGGAGGCAAGCGUUAUCCGGAUGUACUGGGUGUAAAGGGAGCGUAGACGGAUUCGGAAGUCUGAAGUGAAAGCCCGUGGCUCAACCGUAGAAGUGCUUUGGAUACUGUAUAGUUUGAGUACUGGAGAGGUAGGCGGAAUUCCUGGUGUAGCGGUGAAAUGCGUAGAUAUUAGGAGGAACACCAGUGGCGAAGGCGGCCUGCUGGACAGAAACUGACGUUGAGGCUCGAAAGCGUGGGGAGCAAACAGGAUUAGAUACCCGAGUAGUC
RNAcentral lists this ribosomal RNA (441 nucleotides) under uncultured bacterium. RNAcentral's name for it is "partial 16S ribosomal RNA". It matches the Rfam family "Bacterial small subunit ribosomal RNA", at positions 338 to 795 of the family's 1533-position model. The record is from RNAcentral.